UACAGGGGGUGCAAACGUUGCUCGGAAUCAUUGGGCGUAAAGCGCACGUAGGCGGUUCGUUAUGUCGGAUGUGAAAGCCCUUGGCUUAACCGAGGAAGUGCAUCCGAAACUGGCGAGCUAGAGUACGAAAGAGGAUCGCGGAAUUCCCGGUGUAGAGGUGAAAUUCGUAGAUAUCGGGAGGAACACCGAUGGCGAAGGCGGCGAUCUGGGUCGAUACUGACGCUGAGGUGCGAAAGCGUGGGGAGCAAACAGG
Molecule: ribosomal RNA, 253 nt
Filed under: uncultured bacterium
Lineage: Bacteria
Description: partial 16S ribosomal RNA
Rfam family: Bacterial small subunit ribosomal RNA
Source: RNAcentral